GUGUUAUUUGGAAGAUGGAGCUUCAAAGGGUGCCUGGCUGAACCGGUCAAGUAUUAUUUUUGCGGGAGGUGAUAAGUGGUCAGUGGAUCCUCGAGUUUCAAUUUCAACAUUGAAUAAAAGGGACUACAGCCUCCAGAUACAGAAUGUAGAUGUGACAGAUGAUGGCCCAUACACGUGUUCUGUUCAGACUCAACAUACACCCAGAACAAUGCAGGUGCAUCUAACUGUGCAAGUUCCUCCUAAGAUAUAUGACAUCUCAAAUGAUAUGACCGUCAAUGAAGGAACCAACGUCACUCUUACUUGUUUGGCCACUGGGAAACCAGAGCCUUCCAUUUCUUGGCGACACAUCUCCCCAUCAGCAAAACCAUUUGAAAAUGGACAAUAUUUGGACAUUUAUGGAAUUACAAGGGACCAGGCUGGGGAAUAUGAAUGCAGUGCGGAAAAUGAUGUGUCAUUCCCAGAUGUGAGGAAAGUAAAAGUUGUUGUCAACUGUAAGUGUCAUCACCUUUUAUCAAGAUAAGUUCUGAGAAAAGAUAAAACACCUUGAAAAAUU
RNAcentral lists this small RNA (553 nucleotides) under Pan troglodytes (chimpanzee). RNAcentral's name for it is "processed transcript". Lineage: Eukaryota; Metazoa; Chordata; Mammalia; Primates; Hominidae. The record is from RNAcentral.